UUAGGAAUAUUGGGCAAUGGAGGAAACUCUGACCCAGCAACGCCGCGUGAAGGAAGAAGGUUUUCGGAUUGUAAACUUCUGAUCUGUGGGAAGAAGAGAAUGACGGUACCACAGGAGAAAGCCACGGCUAACUACGUGCCAGCAGCCGCGGUAAUACGUAGGUGGCGAGCGUUGUCCGGAAUAACUGGGCGUAAAGGGAGCGUAGGUGGUUGAUUAAGUUAAAUGUGAAAGCCCAGGGCUCAACUCUGGAACUGCAUUUAAUACUGGUCGGCUAGAGUACAGGAGGGGUAAACGGAAUUUCUAGUGUAGCGGUGAAAUGCGUAGAUAUUAGGAAGAACACCGGAGGCGAAGGCGGUUUACUGGACUGCAACUGACACUGAGGCUCGAAAGCGUGGGGAGCAAACAGG
Molecule: ribosomal RNA, 407 nt
Filed under: uncultured bacterium
Lineage: Bacteria
Description: bacterial SSU rRNA
Rfam family: Bacterial small subunit ribosomal RNA
Source: RNAcentral